GGUAGCAUAAUCAUUAGGUUUUUAAUUGAGAUCUUGUAUGAAUGAUUGGACAAAAGAAAUACUGUCUUUAUAUUAAAAUUUGAAUUUAACUUUUAAGUGAAAAGGCUUAAAUAUUCUAAAGGGACGAUAAGACCCUAUAAAACUUUACAUUAGUAUUAAAUUUUAUUAAAUUUAAUAAUAAUAAUUAAAUUUAAUUUUUUGUUAUAUUGGGGAGAUAAAAGCUAUAAUUAUAAAUAACUGCUUAUAAAGAAAACAAAAAUAAAUGGAAUAAGGUUAUAGAUCCUUUUUAAAGAUUUAAAGAUUAAGUUACUUUAGGGAUAACAGCGUUAUUUUUUUUGAGAGUCCAUAUCGAAAAAAGAGAUUGCGACCUCGAUGUUGAAUUAAAAUAUCUUUAUAAUG
This 399-nucleotide ribosomal RNA is filed under the name Potamonautes sp. n. Its description in RNAcentral is "partial large subunit ribosomal RNA". The record is from RNAcentral. Lineage: Eukaryota; Metazoa; Arthropoda; Malacostraca; Decapoda; Potamonautidae.